RNAcentral lists this ribosomal RNA (268 nucleotides) under uncultured bacterium. RNAcentral's name for it is "partial 16S ribosomal RNA". It matches the Rfam family "Bacterial small subunit ribosomal RNA", at positions 355 to 613 of the family's 1533-position model. The record is from RNAcentral.
UGGGGAAUCUUCCGCAAUGGGCGAAAGCCUGACGGAGCAACGCCGCGUGAGUGAAGACGGCCUUCGGGUUGUAAAGCUCUGUUAUAUGGGACGAACGGGUGUAUGGUCAAUACCCAUACGCCGUGACGGUACCGUAAGAGAAAGCCACGGCUAACUACGUGCCAGCAGCCGCGGUAAUACGUAGGUGGCAAGCGUUGUCCAGAAUCAUUGGGCGUAAAGGGCGCGCAGGCGGUUCGGUAAGUCGGUCUUAAAAAGUGCGGGGCUUAAC